GAUGAAGAACGUAGCGAAAUGCGAUAAGUAAUGUGAAUUGCAGAAUUCAGUGAAUCAUCGAAUCUUUGAACGCACAUUGCGCCCGCCAGUAUUCUGGCGGGCAUGCCUGUUCGAGCGUCAUUUCAACCCUCAAGCCCCCGGGCUUGGUGUUGGGGAUCGGCGUGCCCUCGCGGCGCGCCGUCCCCUAAAUCUAGUGGCGGUCUCGCUGUAGCUUCCUCUGCGUAGUAGCAACACUCGCACUGGAUCGUAGCGCGGCCACGCCGUUAAACCCCCCACUUCUGAAAGUUUGACCUCGGAUCAGGUAGGAAUACCCGCUGAACUUAAGCAUAUCAAUAAGCGGAGGA
This 344-nucleotide unclassified non-coding RNA is filed under the name soil metagenome. RNAcentral describes it as "partial contains 5.8S ribosomal RNA, internal transcribed spacer 2, and large subunit ribosomal RNA". The stretch from base 1 to 120 matches the Rfam family "5.8S ribosomal RNA", at positions 35 to 154 of the family's 154-position model. The record is from RNAcentral.